Molecule: small nucleolar RNA, 107 nt
Filed under: Gossypium hirsutum (cotton)
Lineage: Eukaryota; Viridiplantae; Streptophyta; Magnoliopsida; Malvales; Malvaceae
Description: Plant small nucleolar RNA R71
Rfam family: Plant small nucleolar RNA R71
About the family: R71 is a member of the C/D box family of snoRNAs containing the C (UGAUGA) and D (CUGA) box motifs. Multiple nearly identical copies of this snoRNA have been identified in Arabidopsis, and it is thought to function as a 2'-O-ribose methylation guide for 18S ribosomal RNA.
Source: Rfam by way of RNAcentral
AACCCAUGGUGAGGGCACCUUUGCUGUAGAUCCUUGUAUCUCUCCCAUUCAUCGUAAAGUGUUUCUGGGUCCAUCUGCACAAAAGAAGAAAUAUCAUUACGUAACUU